AAAUUGAAGAGUUUGAUCAUGGCUCAGAUUGAACGCUGGCGGCAGGCCUAACACAUGCAAGUCGAGCGGAAACGAGUUACCUGAACCUUCGGGGAACGAUAAUGGCGUCGAGCGGCGGACGGGUGAGUAAUGCCUAGGAAAUUGCCCUGAUGUGGGGGAUAACCAUUGGAAACGAUGGCUAAUACCGCAUGAUGCCUACGGGCCAAAGAGGGGGACCUUAGGGCCUCUCGCGUCAGGAUAUGCCUAGGUGGGAUUAGCUAGUUGGUGAGGUAAGGGCUCACCAAGGCGACGAUCCCUAGCUGGUCUGAGAGGAUGAUCAGCCACACUGGAACUGAGACACGGUCCAGACUCCUACGGGAGGCAGCAGUGGGGAAUAUUGCACAAUGGGCGCAAGCCUGAUGCAGCCAUGCCGCGUGUGUGAAGAAGGCCUUCGGGUUGUAAAGCACUUUCAGUCGUGAGGAAGGUAGUGUAGUUAAUAGCUGCAUU
RNAcentral lists this ribosomal RNA (486 nucleotides) under Vibrio parahaemolyticus. RNAcentral describes it as "bacterial SSU rRNA". It matches the Rfam family "Bacterial small subunit ribosomal RNA", at positions 1 to 472 of the family's 1533-position model. The record is from RNAcentral. Lineage: Bacteria; Pseudomonadati; Pseudomonadota; Gammaproteobacteria; Vibrionales; Vibrionaceae.